Molecule: ribosomal RNA, 1152 nt
Filed under: uncultured organism
Description: bacterial SSU rRNA
Rfam family: Bacterial small subunit ribosomal RNA
Source: RNAcentral
CGCCGGCUAAUACCCCAUGCUUGCGUCCGGGUUAGAGGCCGGAUGCAGAAAGGCCGAGGCGCUGAGGGAGGGGGCUGUGGUCCAUCAGCUAGUUGGUAGGGUAACGGCCUACCAAGGCGAGGACGGAUAGGGGGCCUGAGAGGGUGACCCCCCACACGGGCACUGAGACACGGGCCCGACUCCUACGGGAGGCAGCAGUAAGGGAUAUUGCGACAAUGGGCGAAAGCCUGACGCAGCAACGCCGCGUGGAGGAUGAAGGCCUUCGGGUUGUAAACUCCUUUUCUGUGGGAAGAGGAAGGACGGUACCACAGGAAGAAGUCUCAGCUAACUACGUGCCAGCAGCCGCGGUAAAACGUAGGAGGCGAGCGUUAUCCGGAUUUACUGGGUGUAAAGCGCGUGCAGGCGGUCUGGUAAGUCGAGCGUGAAAGCUCCCGGCUCAACCGGGAGAGGACGUGCGAAACUGCGAGGCUAGAGACAGGUAGAGGCGUACGGAAUUCCGGGUGUAGUGGUGAAAUGCGUAGAUAUCCGGAGGAACACCAGUGGCGAAGGCGGUACGCUGGGCCUGGUCUGACGCUAAGACGCGAAAGCAUGGGGAGCGAACGGGAUUAGAAACCCCGGUAGUCCAUGCCGUAAACGAUGCUAACUAGGUGUUGCGGGUAAAAGACCGGCAGUGCCGGAGUUAACGCGAUAAGUUAGCCACCUGGGGACUACGGUCGCAAGGCUAAAACUCAAAGGAAUUGACGGGGGCCCGCACAAGCAGCGGAGCGUGUGGUUUAAUUCGAGGCUACACGAAGAACCUUACCUGGGCUUGACAUGACGGUGGUAGGGAACCGAAAGGGGACCGACCUUCGGGAGCCGCCACAGGUGCUGCAUGGCUGUCGUCAGCUCGUGUCGUGAGAUGUUCGGUUAAGUCCGGUAACGAGCGCAACCCUCAUCGCUAGUUACAAGUGUCUAGCGAGACUGCCCGUUCAACGCGGGAGGAAGGCGGGGAUGACGUCAAGUCAGCAUGGCCUUUAUGUCCAGGGCUACACACACGCUACAAUGGCCGGUACAAUGGGUCGCCAACCCGCGAGGGGGAGCCAAUCCACCAAAGCCGGUCACAGUUCGAAUUGCAGGCUGCAACCCGCCUGCAUGAAGUCGGAGUUGCUAGUA